RNAcentral lists this unclassified non-coding RNA (2967 nucleotides) under Hevea brasiliensis (rubber tree). The record is from RNAcentral. Lineage: Eukaryota; Viridiplantae; Streptophyta; Magnoliopsida; Malpighiales; Euphorbiaceae.
CUUUUAUUUCGGCUUUGUUGCUAGGCCAAGAAUUCUCUCUAAAAUGUUUACAAGUUUCCAAGUUCCUUUUCUUUCUAUAUUUCUAUUCAGAAUUAGAGAGGAAAGUGAGCAUUGCUAGUGUAAUCCCAUUACUUUAAUCUCAAGUUUUUAAUACAAUUUCAGAUUCUCUUCUUUCCAUUUGCUUAAGUUCCUUAAAUCCAACUAGCCGGCCUGCUCUAUUCUCUGUGAAUGCCAACAAUAAGAAUAGAUUUCUGCAUUGAUACGAUAGAGAGGAACGAUCUAGCUAUCUACCAUAAUGAGUUGGAUCAAAAAGUUAAUAGAAUCAAAAUUUUAAAAUUUACUUAAUUGAGUUGAUAUGGAAGGAGGCAGCAGCCGGGAAUGAUGAACCUCUAAGAUAAUGUCUUCAUCAACAGUAGACAAGCGAUGGGAAUCCAACCGAUAGCAUGGGGCCUCCAGCUCUAAUUUUGGAAGAAGCUCCGUUGCACGCACAAACGAUCAUUAUGGCCAAAUUCUAUAAUGAAAACCCAGAAAAUUGGAUUGUCCAGGCUGAGCAAUCCGGCAGCAUGAUAUCAAGAAUACACUGAUCCAGAACAGAUUUCCUUUAUAUAAUCCCAUGAGAUCUAGCCCCUUAGAAUGUCCAUUUAUAAACCAAAAAAAUACAAAAAUGCAGAUAUAAUGCACUGAAGAAUACUUUCACAAGGGGAUAGAAAGGAGCAAAACUUCAUAUUGGCAUUAGGAUAGAAAGGAGCAAAACUUCAUAUUGGCAUUAGGCAAGCAGCCAGGCACAGAUACUCUUUCACUGCACCUUGCAAUUUAUGUGCCUCUUAAUAUAUGCAGUAGCAACUUUAAGCUGUAACCGUUGAAAACAGCUCUUCUAACUAUACAAACACCAGGCACAGCCUUGGUUCCUGCCAUCUAUAUUUUGCCACUGCUUCUAUAUACUGUAUAGUUAUCUACAACAAUCACUGCUGACGGAUUCUUCUAGUACCCAGACAAUUUCUGUUUACUAAAUUAGCUUCAUCUUGUGCUCAAAAUGUUCUAGUGUUGUUAUGCUAAGCCUUCAGAGUAGAACCAAAAUGUGGGAAGAGCUGAGAAGGUAGGUCUCUUAUUCGGGACCCAUUGCCCCAGAAAGAUGCAAGAGAAAGACCCAUGAUCGCCAUGGCAACUACCGAGCAUGCUGGUGGGACAGCCUGAGUGGUCCCAAGGAACUGGGUUGCAAGAAGACCUGCCAGUGUGGAGCUUUGCAUUCCUGUGCACAAUGAAAUUGUCCUGCUAACUUCUUCAUCUAGCCUGUGACAAUAAUCAUUUUAUUUCAUGUCAUUUUAAAAGAAAAGUUUAUACAUGUGAUGGAAUAUUAAUUAAUCACAGAAUCAUGCGUUUUAUCAUCAUCCAUCUUAAGUUAUUUAAAAAAUAACUCUUUGGAAUGGAAAUAAGUUUCUAGCAAAUAUGCAUUCACCAGAGGAGAACCAAGAAGGCAAUGAAUAAUUGCACGUUAAAAUUUAAGAAUGCUGGGAAAAAAAUACACAUUAGACUACUGAAAAAACCAAUAAUCAGUGGAGUUGCAAGAAAGGCCCCAGAAUAGGAAAGAGCAAUGGCGACUUCUUUCAAGUUCAACAACAAGGAAUUCAAUAGACACCUGCACAAUGCAUAAAGCAUGGGCAACCAAUAAGGAUAAAGCUUUGAUAGCUUCUCAUAAGUUCCAUGAGAACUGGAAUUACUCCCAAGACAUGGGUUAAUAAUCAGAAGGAAGCAGGUAAUGCAAGUGCAGAAUGACAACAUGCUGAUCAUAAGCAGUAGAAAUGGAAUGAAUAUGCAACAGAAUAAUAGCCUACCAUAUGAAAAGUCAGAGAAAUAACACCUCCAAAGCACAUACAUUAGAAUUUAAUGCCUCCGGAUAGCAUUUGUACUAGCAAACAUGUAGAAAAUACAGCAACAAUUUUCAACUAUCUACCCCCAAAAAAUGCUAGGACAGUUUGACCCAUCCCAUUCCUUGGACAAGUAUAGGAUUCAGCCACAGAAGUAUAUCAUGGCAUCAAUAGGCUUCUAACUAGACGCUAACAACCCAUGUUCAUAAAAAAAUUUUAUCACUUAGAGGCAGCAUGACAUUUAAAUGAACAAUAUAGGGUCUCCAAAUCCUACCAGUUCAAAACCGUCCCCAGAGUUCAUGAGACUGGAGAUAUCAUAGCAAAGAGCUUUUACUACUAUUAGUUAGAAUGACUGCAAACAACUAUUGCAUGAUUGAUCCAAGGAACCCAAGUCCAAAAAACAGGGCAUUUGCAAGGAGGCUUAUUCAUACCCCAUUAUAUAUUUGCCAAAACGCUUCCUCAAAAUGCAUAGUGCAGGAUGCAAAGUAUGAAAUUACCUCAAAGCUGGAAUUCUGGAAAUCCAAUAUCCAAAAGCGAAUGCAGCUGUAUGAAAUGCCAAAACUGGAAGAACCAAUCUGAGACCCUCUGUGGACAGAAUCUGACUUCUAUUUAUAGCUAGAGGGCUGCCAAUACAAAUUGAGGUACAUAUCAUAGCAACAAAUGGCAUCACAGGCUGAAUAACAUUUACCACUGGCUUUGCAUAGGUAUUUAGCACGAGGCCAAGGGUAACUGGAACAAGAACAACCUGCAAUAUCGACUUUGACAUGGCAACAGCAUCAACUGGAACAACAGAGCCAAUGAGGAGGCCAGUUAAAAGAGGCGUGAUAAGCACUGAUGCAAUUGUUGUAGAGCUAGUAAGGAGAAUGCUCAUGGCUACAUCCCCUUUGCUCAAGAAACUGGCAUAGCUUGAUAGUUGAGCCCCUGCAACACAAGACAUGAGGACAAAACCUGUGUAGAACAUCCGAGACAUCCCAAAUGCCUUUGCAACUAAUAACCCAAGGGCUGGUUUUAGCACAUACUGCGCGAGAAACCCAACAGAUAGUGGUAAAGGUCUCUUAAAUGCAAGAGCAAAAUCAUCAAUAGAAAGUUUAAUUCCAAUUGA